GUUGCUGUACCCCCUCCCACUGCUGCACCCCCUCCCGCUCCUCCAGUCGUUCCGGGAGUGAUGACUGUUGCCCAGUUGGUUCAACAGCCCGGUCGUGAGCAUCUUCCCUAUCUCACUCCGUGUCCAAAGGGACGACGUCAAACAUGGUUCAACCGAUCCGGAAAUGAGAUCAGCGCAUGGAUCAACAAUAUGAUGUACUCGAACCUCAGCAAGGGAUAUCCGACUUUCACUCACUUCCCUGCCGAGGACUAGGAGAUGUGGUUUCGUCAGUUUGCGCAAGAGUUCACCUGGAAUCCCGAUCACACGAACUUUAUCCGUGACGCCUUCGUCCAUAAAGUUAUGGACAACUAUGGGAAGCAGAUCUACGAGUGGAAGCAGAAGUGGCUCAU
Molecule: long non-coding RNA, 389 nt
Organism: Brassica oleracea var. oleracea
Lineage: Eukaryota; Viridiplantae; Streptophyta; Magnoliopsida; Brassicales; Brassicaceae
Exons: 3
Source: RefSeq, a predicted model, not a curated record